UACGGAGGGUGCAAGCGUUACUCGGAAUUACUGGGCGUAAAGGGUGAGUAGGCGGCUGGGCAAGUCAAGGAUGAAAGCCCGAGGCUCAACUUCGGAACCGUCCUUGAAACUGCUCAGCUUGAGGGUAGUUGAGGAGAGCGGAAUUCCCGGUGGAGCGGUAAAAUGCGUAGAUAUCGGGAGGAACACCUGAGGCGAAGGCGGUUCUCUAAGCUACUCCUGACGCUGAAUCACGAAAGCUAGGGGAGCAAACGGG
This 253-nucleotide ribosomal RNA is filed under the name uncultured bacterium. Its description in RNAcentral is "partial 16S ribosomal RNA". It matches the Rfam family "Bacterial small subunit ribosomal RNA", at positions 524 to 776 of the family's 1533-position model. The record is from RNAcentral.